RNAcentral lists this ribosomal RNA (501 nucleotides) under uncultured bacterium. Its description in RNAcentral is "partial 16S ribosomal RNA". It matches the Rfam family "Bacterial small subunit ribosomal RNA", at positions 30 to 523 of the family's 1533-position model. The record is from RNAcentral.
AUUGAACGCUGGCGGCAGGCUUAACACAUGCAAGUCGAGCGGGGGAAGGUAGCUUGCUACCGGACCUAGCGGCGGACGGGUGAGUAAUGCUUAGGAAUCUGCCUAUUAGUGGGGGACAACAUCUCGAAAGGGAUGCUAAUACCGCAUACGUCCUACGGGAGAAAGCAGGGGAUCUUCGGACCUUGCGCUAAUAGAUGAGCCUAAGUCGGAUUAGCUAGUUGGUGGGGUAAAGGCCUACCAAGGCGACGAUCUGUAGCGGGUCUGAGAGGAUGAUCCGCCACAAGGGGGCCGGGACACGGCCCAGACUCCUACGGGAGGCAGCAGUGGGGAAUAUUGGACAAUGGGGGGAACCCUGAUCCAGCCAUGCCGCGUGUGUGAAGAAGGCCUUAUGGUUGUAAAGCACUUUAAGCGAGGAGGAGGCUACUCUAGUUAAUACCUAGGGAUAGUGGACGUUACUCGCAGAAUAAGCACCGGCUAACUCUGUGCCAGCCGCCGCCGUAA